GCCGGGCACGGUGGCCUGUGCUUGUAUUCCCAACUACUGGGGAGGCUGAAGUGGGAGGAUUGCUUGAGCCCAGGAGUUCUGGGCCGUAGUGCACUAUGCCGAUCGGGUGUUUGCACUAAGUUCGGCAUCAAUAUGGUGACCUCCCGGGAGUGGGGGACCACCAGGUUGCCUAAGGAGAGGUGAACCCAUCCAGGUUGGAAAUGGAGCAGGUCAAAACUCCCUUGCUGAUCGGUAGUGGGAUCACGCCUGUGAACAGCCACUGCACUCCAGCCUGGGCAACAUAGUGAGACCCUGUCUCU
This 299-nucleotide signal recognition particle RNA is filed under the name Cebus imitator (Panamanian white-faced capuchin). RNAcentral describes it as "Metazoan signal recognition particle RNA (ENSCCAG00000003305.1)". It matches the Rfam family "Metazoan signal recognition particle RNA". Rfam says of the family: The signal recognition particle (SRP) is a universally conserved ribonucleoprotein. It is involved in the co-translational targeting of proteins to membranes. The record is from RNAcentral. Lineage: Eukaryota; Metazoa; Chordata; Mammalia; Primates; Cebidae.